GUGCUCAUUUUGGCACCAAAUAUAUUAAAACUGGAACAAUACAGAGAAGACUAGCAUGGCCUCUGUGCAAGGGUGACAUGCAAAUUUGUUAAGCAUUCCAUAUUGAA
This is a small nuclear RNA of Vulpes vulpes (red fox), 107 nucleotides long. Lineage: Eukaryota; Metazoa; Chordata; Mammalia; Carnivora; Canidae. The record is from Ensembl.